UUGCUUUUGCUUUUGACCUGCCUCAUAUUUCCUGUGGUUCAUGCAUCUAAUCUGCAGUCAUUUCUUUCCUUCUCAUCUCCACUCAUUUCUUUCUAAUCUACUCGAUUUUCCCCUGUUGGUCUUUCAAAUUGCAGUGCGGGUGUGCGGCGGAGGAAGAUAUUUAGCUGCGUCAUCUUCGAAGUCUUAUGUGGAUCAAUCUACAUGGUUGUGCUUGCCUACGCCUAGUUCUCCAAGUGCUUCAGCUGUUGAUGAUUCUUCAGAGACCAAGAGGGGAGUGGGUUUGCGAAGAUGAUUCGCUUGAUCUCUCCCUCAUCACUGAGACAGGGCAAAUUAUUGUUCCCCAAUCCGACCAUAUCACUAUUUUAAUUUUUAAUUCGUUUGGUUCCUCAAUCUCAUAUUGGUGGUUAUUGUAGACAAAAAAUGGGGAUUAGAUGAGACCUAUAUCAUAUACAAGUGCUGAAGUGCCUUCUUAGGUUUCCUAUUACCUUCCCAAAUGAUCAAAUGGGUCAUACAAAAACCCAGAGACGUAACUUUGAGGAGACGUCCUUUCUCUGUUUUUUCCUUUCCCUUUUGCUUUUCUUAUGAGUACAAAUUUGUUUUGGUUCAUCUUUAUUUUAUGUGUGAUGUUGUUUUAUUCUUUAUGAAUCAUCUUCACUGGUGAGUUGGGAGAUUAAUUUGGUUUUUGUUUUGGGCUGAAUUUUGAUUUUGUUCUCGAACGUGUUCAUCUUCAUUUGUUGGGUUCUACUUCGAAUUGUGAAUUCUUAUUCGUGGGAUGUAAAGGCGGAACUCUUGCUUGAUUAUACUUGAUUUUGUCGCCAAGUAAAUAAAGUAAUUUGUUAAUGAGGUUAUCUAUGGCAGGUCUUAAUCAUGGUUCACUCUUGCAAUUGUUUGAUAUAUAUGGUGGAUAUACCUGUUGUGUAUUAGUAGUUGCAUGGUCAGAACCACAAUUUCAACUAUGAACUGUUGACUUCUAAGAGUAUGUAGUAUCAUGACUUAGCUUGAGAAUUGAAGGAUCAUCAACUAAUUUGUUUUCUUUGUGUUUUCAUGAUAGGUUGAAAGAUUUAAAUAUCAGAGAAAUCAGGUCACUUGAAGAUGUGCCGGCGACAUCAGCAAGUUUUGAUGGAAUUUCUGUUCAAAAUGGGGGGAAGAAGCUUAGGAUGUUCCUCAUACAAUAUGAUAAUCAAAGGAUGGCUUUUGGGAGAGCAUAAACUGGAGGAACUACACCUCUUAACGUUCAAGGAAAGCCCAUUAAGGAUCUGUCAAAAACUGGUGAAAGAAGCUCAAAAACUCAUAUUGGUACACCAGAAACUCACAAGCUUGAUGGGAAGGACCUACAAGAGGUUACCUAUUGGCACAACAGUGGUCAAGCAUCUCAUCAUGCCCCCAAAUAAGUAACGUCCAUCAACUGGAAGUAGUUAUUGAUGGAUCAAACUCAAAUGUGGGCAAGAUAGUUGCAUCUUGGUGUAUUAUGAUUUCAUGGACUACGUAAAGAAUAUAUAUGCUCUAUAAUCACUGUUGAUUCAUUCAAUUCCUUUGUGAAGAUGUAUUCUCUGUGGCACGUUUGCUGUUGUAUGUCACAGCUUUUCUUUGCAUGUGAUAAUCAAGGGAGAAAUAACAAAGGAGGACGAUUAAGGCAACAACUUAUUUUCAUAUUUUUGGUCAUAAUAUACGAUUCUGAAUAGGGUUUGUGUGUCCAUGUGUUACAGUGCUAUACAUAGCUCUUUAUUUCAAUGGUGUAUACUAUUUCUGUCAUUUGUAACAGCAAUUUUGCUUGAUAGUUUAUUUCACAUCUCCUGUAAUUUUUAAUUCUGGCAUUUGCUUAAUGAAGUUCUGAAUAAUUUACAGAU
RNA transcript from Tripterygium wilfordii, 1847 nucleotides. RefSeq lists it as uncharacterized. NCBI's taxonomy places the organism in Eukaryota, Viridiplantae, Streptophyta, Magnoliopsida, Celastrales, Celastraceae. The record is from RefSeq and is a predicted model, not a curated record. The transcript has 6 exons.